Molecule: ribosomal RNA, 455 nt
Filed under: uncultured bacterium
Lineage: Bacteria
Description: bacterial SSU rRNA
Rfam family: Bacterial small subunit ribosomal RNA
Source: RNAcentral
ACUCCUACGGGAGGCAGCAGUGGGGAAUAUUGCACAAUGGGCGCAAGCCUGAUGCAGCCAUGCCGCGUGUGUGAAGAAGGCCUCGGUUGUAAAGCACUUUCAGUCGUGAGGAAGGUAGUGUAGUUAAUAGCUGCAUUAUUUGUACGUUAGUCGACAGAAGAAGCACCGGCUAACUCCGUGCCAGCAGCCGCGGUAAUACGGAGGGUGCGAGCGUUAAUCGGAAUUACUGGGCGUAAAGCGCAUGCAGGUGGUUUGUUAAGUCAGAUGUGAAAGCCCGGGGCUCAACCUCGGAAUAGCAUUUGAAACUGGCAGACUAGAGUACUGUAGAGGGGGUAGAAUUUCAGGUGUAGCGGUGAAAUGCGUAGAGAUCUGAAGGAAUACCGGUGGCGAAGGCGGCCCCCUGGACAGAUACUGACACUCAGAUGCGAAAGCGUGGGGAGCAAACAGGAUUAGAU